CCUACGGGAGACAGCAGUGGGGAAUAUUGGGCAAUGGGCGCAAGCCUGACCCAGCAACGCCGCGUGAAGGAAGAAGGCUUUCGGGUUGUAAACUUCUUUUCUGAGGGACGAAGAAAGUGACGGUACCUCAGGAAUAAGCCACGGCUAACUACGUGCCAGCAGCCGCGGUAAUACGUAGGUGGCAAGCGUUAUCCGGAUUUAUUGGGUGUAAAGGGCGUGUAGGCGGGAAAGCAAGUCAGAUGUGAAAACUCAGGGCUCAACCCUGAGCCUGCAUUUGAAACUGUUUUUCUUGAGUGCUGGAGAGGCAAGCGGAAUGCCUAGUGUAGCGGUGAAAUGCGUAGAUAUUAGGAAGAACACCAGUGGCGAAGGCGGCUUGCUGGACAGUAACUGACGUUGAGGCUCGAAAGCGUGGGGAGCGAACAGGAUUAGAUACCCCUGUAGUC
This 443-nucleotide ribosomal RNA is filed under the name uncultured bacterium. Its description in RNAcentral is "partial 16S ribosomal RNA". It matches the Rfam family "Bacterial small subunit ribosomal RNA", at positions 338 to 795 of the family's 1533-position model. The record is from RNAcentral.